RNAcentral lists this ribosomal RNA (497 nucleotides) under uncultured bacterium. RNAcentral's name for it is "partial 16S ribosomal RNA". It matches the Rfam family "Bacterial small subunit ribosomal RNA", at positions 28 to 507 of the family's 1533-position model. The record is from RNAcentral.
GAUGAACGCUGGCGGCGUGCCUAAUACAUGCAAGUCGAGCGAACAGACGAGGAGCUUGCUCCUCUGACGUUAGCGGCGGACGGGUGAGUAACACGUGGAUAACCUACCUAUAAGACUGGGAUAACUUCGGGAAACCGGAGCUAAUACCGGAUAACAUGUUGAACCGCAUGGUUCAACAGUGAAAGACGGUCUUGCUGUCACUUAUAGAUGGAUCCGCGCCGCAUUAGCUAGUUGGUAAGGUAACGGCUUACCAAGGCAACGAUGCGUAGCCGACCUGAGAGGGUGAUCGGCCACACUGGAACUGAGACACGGUCCAGACGCCUACGGGAGGCAGCAGUAGGGAAUCUUCCGCAAUGGGCGAAAGCCUGACGGAGCAACGCCGCGUGAGUGAUGAAGGUCUUCGGAUCGUAAAACUCUGUUAUUAGGGAAGAACAAAUGUGUAAGUAACUAUGCACGUCUUGACGGUACCUAAUCAGAAAGCCACGGCUAACUACGUG